CUGGUAUGUCACGGGUAGGGUCUGUGCUGCCAGAGAUCUGCAGCAGGGGUUGCAAGCUGGGAAAGAACCCCAGCAAUGCCUCUGCUGAAGUGGAGCAAGAUACACUCCAAGAAACCUCAGAAUUGUUUGGACUGAGCUUCAGCUUGAACUGUGAUAAAUGACUGACUGCUUGGGCUGAGAAAAGGAGGUAAAUCUGUCCACCAGCAAAGAAGGAGUGGGAAGGCAAAUGCAACCACAAGGCCUGGCUGUAAUAUGGAAAACACAGCGUGACAUUCACCAAGAAUUUACACAGUGAUCAAUUUAUGUUGCACCUGUUUGUCUGAUACUAUCA
Molecule: long non-coding RNA, 331 nt
Filed under: Parus major (Great Tit)
Lineage: Eukaryota; Metazoa; Chordata; Aves; Passeriformes; Paridae
Description: lncRNA (ENSPMJG00000017447.1)
Source: RNAcentral